CCUUGUAUUUUUCAGAGGUAUAGUUGUACGAAACUGAAUGACAUAUUGGUAUUUGUUUCAUUCAAUCUAAAUUGCAUAUAUAAUCCCAGAAAUAUACUCGUAAAUAGUUCCAUAUUACUUCUAUUCAUCUAUCAAUAAACCCAUGAUAAUGUCGGGCAAUUUCCAUCAACGACAGGCAUUUCACUGUCUUGCUCCCCUAAUUUUUCUUCCCGUAUUCCUAUGAUUUUU
This is a non-coding RNA of Paramuricea clavata, 228 nucleotides long. The record is from the annotation of a GenBank genome assembly. NCBI's taxonomy places the organism in Eukaryota, Metazoa, Cnidaria, Anthozoa, Malacalcyonacea, Plexauridae.